This is a long non-coding RNA of Solanum tuberosum (potato), 892 nucleotides long. RefSeq lists it as uncharacterized. The record is from RefSeq and is a predicted model, not a curated record. NCBI's taxonomy places the organism in Eukaryota, Viridiplantae, Streptophyta, Magnoliopsida, Solanales, Solanaceae. The transcript has 4 exons.
AUAUAGUAUUAAAUUCGGUGUCCAUUUAAAUUGGCCAGGUGUUCUAGAAUGGUAUUGUAGAUUGUCUUUUGAAAUGUUUUGUUUUCUUUUAGUUUAUUUGUGUCUAUGUAUGAGUUAGUUGCUUUUAUUUUGAGAUAGUAUGGACAUUAGAGAUUGAAAUAUUUAUUUGAAAGCUUGUAAAUGUCUUAGGAAUUGUCUUCUAUCAGCUAACAAAGUCUAAUUUGAAGGGAUAUUCUUCACAUUAACUUUCCUGAAGGUCCUUUUGGUACAAAGGAAGCGCCUCUUGUUGUCAAAUCCUACUAUGAUAGAAGAAUUGUAGGAUACCUAGAGAUGAAGGGGAAGAUGAGCAUGAUGUUGUUUGGUUCUGGCUCGAGAAGGGCAAGCCACAUGAAUGCCCAAUAUGCUCAUAGUAUUUUGUGAUAUGUAUCCUGUGCUAUUGGGUGCCCAGUCGAAGGAGUGAUUUCACCUUCAAAAGUGGCAUAUGUAGCAAAGGAACUUCAUGACAUGGGAUGUUUCGAAAUUUUCCUUGGAGACACAAUAGGAAUCGCUACUCCAGGAACUGUUGUUCCUAUGCUUGAAGCUGUGGACUAUGGUAUUUGUUGAAAAGCUUGAUGUGCAUUUUCAUGAUACCUCUGGACAAUCUCUUUCAAAUAUUUUGAUUUCCCUCCAAGUGAUCAAAUUUGAAUAAUGGCCCCAGGUCAACUCAAUAUAUUGGAGCGAACGAUAGUGUUUUUGAACUACUAUUAUUUAUGCUUGAAUACAUUGUGAAAUUUAUUGCUAGUACAACUCUUUAAAAUAUUCCUUUCUAAGUAUGUAGUACAAGACAUGUUUUUCGAAGUUUAUUGUAAAUCAAUAUAUUGAACUAUUUAUUAGCUAAUUUGAUGUUUGAGAU